This 508-nucleotide ribosomal RNA is filed under the name Sphaerites glabratus. Its description in RNAcentral is "partial 16S ribosomal RNA". It matches the Rfam family "Archaeal large subunit ribosomal RNA", at positions 1908 to 2666 of the family's 2987-position model. Lineage: Eukaryota; Metazoa; Arthropoda; Insecta; Coleoptera; Sphaeritidae. The record is from RNAcentral.
GUCUUUUUGAUUAUAAUUUAAAGUCUGACCUGCCCACUGAUUUAUUAAAUGGCCGCGGUAUUUUGACCGUGCAAAGGUAGCAUAAUCAUUAGUUUCUUAAUUAGAAACUGGUAUGAAUGGUUGGACGAGGAAAGAGCUGUCUCAAUUUAAAUUUAUUAUAAUUUUAUUUUUAAGUUAAAAAGCUUAAAUAAUUUUAAAAGACGAGAAGACCCUAUAGAGUUUUAUAUUUAAUUUAUUUUUAAGUAUUUAGAAUUUUUAUCUUAUUAUUAAAUAUAAUAUUUUGUUGGGGCGAUAGAAAAAUUAAAUUAACUUUUUUUAAUUAUUUACAUUUAUUUAUGAGUUUAUGAUCCAUUAAUUAUGAUUACAAGAUUAAGUUACCUUAGGGAUAACAGCGUAAUUUUUUUAAAGAGUUCAAAUCGAUAAAAAAGAUUGCGACCUCGAUGUUGGAUUAAAAUUUAUAUUUGGUGUAGCAGCUAAAUAACUAGGUCUGUUCGACCUUUAGAAUUUU